CAGGCUCCAGGAGUGCUCCCAGAUGCUGCAAGAAUGCAGGCAGGGAGGGGACUGAAAAGUGGGAUGGCCCUUGGCUUGGUCACUUCCUGCUGCUGAGGGAAUCAGGUGUGUUCUACGAGGCUCUCCAGGCAUCAGCUUCACAGAGAGAAUCUUGAUGCCCAACAAGGACAGCAUUUUCAGAGAUGUACCCUUACAAGGGGUCCCCAUACAAGAUUGAAAUGGCGGAAAGCCCCACAAAGCAGCCAACAUCCCUUCAAAGAUGAGAGGUCCUCCACCUGACUUUCCUGAUACUCCCCUCAGGAUCACAGGGGAUAAUGCUCUUCCCCCACCGGCCAACUCACCAUGACAUAGAAUGAAAUGGCCCAGCUACAGCCUGGUAACCAAGAUAAAGAACUGAAGAUCCAAAGCCAGAGAAUGAUAAAGUAACUUCAACCUGACACAGUAAAACAUUGCAGGGAGAGUCCGGGAUCUGGAAUGAGAAUGCCACGUCCAGGCUGUGUUACCUUACAAAAAUUAUUAAUGCUUCAGUGGCCUCAUCUGCAGAAUGGAAAUACCAAUAAUAGUAGCUAUCUGAUAAGGUUAUUGUGGGGAUAGUAGGAGACAAUCCAUAAUAAUGUUUGAGUAGUAGCUGGCACAUUGUAGAUACUCAACAUACGCCAGCUAUUAUUGUUAUAGAAAAUAUGCAGAUCUGGAAUAGCUUGGAAAAUGUUUAUGAUACAAUAACAAAUUCAAAAGAAGUCUACUAAAUACUGUGUAUUUUAUGAUUGCAAUUUUGUAAAAACUAUAUCUGCUUAUGGAAAAAGAUUUGAAGAAAAUAUGCUUAUGUGAAAAGAAUUUCUUACAGUGAUGGGAUUACGUGUAGCUUUAUUUAUUUAUUUGAGACCAGGUCUCACUCUGUUGCCCAGGCUGCAAUACAGUGGUGUGACACCAGCUCCCUGAAACUCCUGGGCUCAAGUGAUCCUCCUGCCUCAGCCUCUUGAAUAACUGGGACUACAGGCAUGUGCCACCAUGCCCGGCUAAUAUUUAAUUUUUUUGUGGAGACAGAGUCUCCCUAUGCUGCCAUGCUGGUCUUGAACUCCUGGGCUCAAGCGAUCCUCCAG
This 1100-nucleotide long non-coding RNA is filed under the name Homo sapiens (human). Its description in RNAcentral is "HSALNT0153654". Lineage: Eukaryota; Metazoa; Chordata; Mammalia; Primates; Hominidae. The record is from RNAcentral.